RNAcentral lists this transfer RNA (66 nucleotides) under Allobates insperatus. Its description in RNAcentral is "tRNA-His". Lineage: Eukaryota; Metazoa; Chordata; Amphibia; Anura; Aromobatidae. The record is from RNAcentral.
GAGUGUAGUUUAAAUAAAUCCUAGUAUGUGACACUAGAGAUGAAGACUAGCUAUCUUCUGCUCACC